AUUGAACGCUGGCGGCAUGCCUUACACAUGCAAGUCGAACGGUAACAGGUCUUCGGAUGCUGACGAGUGGCGAACGGGUGAGUAAUACAUCGGAACGUGCCCGAUCGUGGGGGAUAACGAAGCGAAAGCUUUGCUAAUACCGCAUACGAUCUACGGAUGAAAGCAGGGGACCGCACGGCCUUGCGCGAACGGAGCGGCCGAUGGCAGAUUAGGUAGUUGGUGGGAUAAAAGCUUACCAAGCCGACGAUCUGUAGCUGGUCUGAGAGGACGACCAGCCACACUGGGACUGAGACACGGCCCAGACUCCUACGGGAGGCAGCAGUGGGGAAUUUUGGACAAUGGGCGAAAGCCUGAUCCAGCCAUGCCGCGUGCAGGAUGAAGGCCUUCGGGUUGUAAACUGCUUUUGUACGGAACGAAAAGACUCUGGUUAAUACCUGGGGUCCAUGACGGUACCGUAAGAAUAAGCACCGGCUAACUACGUGCCAGCCGCCGAGUACA
RNAcentral lists this ribosomal RNA (498 nucleotides) under uncultured bacterium. RNAcentral's name for it is "partial 16S ribosomal RNA". It matches the Rfam family "Bacterial small subunit ribosomal RNA", at positions 30 to 523 of the family's 1533-position model. The record is from RNAcentral.